UACGUAGGUGGCAAGCGUUGUCCGGAUUUACUGGGCGUAAAGAGCGCGCAGGCGGUCGUGCAAGUCGCGUGUGAAAGCCCCCGGCUCAACUGGGGAGGGUCACGCGAUACUGCUCGACUCGAAGGCAGGAGAGGGAAGUGGAAUUCCCGGUGUAGUGGUGAAAUGCGUAGAGACCCGGAGGAACACCAGUGGCGAAGGCGGCUUCCUGGUCUGCGACUGACGCUGUGGCGCGAAAGCUAGGGGAGCAAACGGG
This 253-nucleotide ribosomal RNA is filed under the name uncultured bacterium. Its description in RNAcentral is "partial 16S ribosomal RNA". It matches the Rfam family "Bacterial small subunit ribosomal RNA", at positions 524 to 776 of the family's 1533-position model. The record is from RNAcentral.